RNAcentral lists this ribosomal RNA (2901 nucleotides) under Escherichia coli DEC11B. RNAcentral's name for it is "bacterial LSU rRNA". It matches the Rfam family "Bacterial large subunit ribosomal RNA". Lineage: Bacteria; Pseudomonadati; Pseudomonadota; Gammaproteobacteria; Enterobacterales; Enterobacteriaceae. The record is from RNAcentral.
UUAAGCGACUAAGCGUACACGGUGGAUGCCCUGGCAGUCAGAGGCGAUGAAGGACGUGCUAAUCUGCGAUAAGCGUCGGUAAGGUGAUAUGAACCGUUAUAACCGGCGAUUUCCGAAUGGGGAAACCCAGUGUGAUUCGACACACUAUCAUUAACUGAAUCCAUAGGUUAAUGAGGCGAACCGGGGGAACUGAAACAUCUAAGUACCCCGAGGAAAAGAAAUCAACCGAGAUUCCCCCAGUAGCGGCGAGCGAACGGGGAGCAGCCCAGAGCCUGAAUCAGUGUGUGUGUUAGUGGAAGCGUCUGGAAAGGCGCGCGAUACAGGGUGACAGCCCCGUACACAAAAAUGCACAUACUGUGAGCUCGAUGAGUAGGGCGGGACACGUGGUAUCCUGUCUGAAUAUGGGGGGACCAUCCUCCAAGGCUAAAUACUCCUGACUGACCGAUAGUGAACCAGUACCGUGAGGGAAAGGCGAAAAGAACCCCGGCGAGGGGAGUGAAAAAGAACCUGAAACCGUGUACGUACAAGCAGUGGGAGCACGCUUAGGCGUGUGACUGCGUACUUUUUGUAUAAUGGGUCAGCGACUUAUAUUCUGUAGCAAGGUUAACCGAAUAGGGGAGCCGAAGGGAAACCGAGUCUUAACUGGGCGUUAAGUUGCAGGGUAUAGACCCGAAACCCGGUGAUCUAGCCAUGGGCAGGUUGAAGGUUGGGUAACACUAACUGGAGGACCGAACCGACUAAUGUUGAAAAAUUAGCGGAUGACUUGUGGCUGGGGGUGAAAGGCCAAUCAAACCGGGAGAUAGCUGGUUCUCCCCGAAAGCUAUUUAGGUAGCGCCUCGUGAAUUCAUCUCCGGGGGUAGAGCACUGUUUCGGCAAGGGGGUCAUCCCGACUUACCAACCCGAUGCAAACUGCGAAUACCGGAGAAUGUUAUCACGGGAGACACACGGCGGGUGCUAACGUCCGUCGUGAAGAGGGAAACAACCCAGACCGCCAGCUAAGGUCCCAAAGUCAUGGUUAAGUGGGAAACGAUGUGGGAAGGCCCAGACAGCCAGGAUGUUGGCUUAGAAGCAGCCAUCAUUUAAAGAAAGCGUAAUAGCUCACUGGUCGAGUCGGCCUGCGCGGAAGAUGUAACGGGGCUAAACCAUGCACCGAAGCUGCGGCAGCGACACUGUGUGUUGUUGGGUAGGGGAGCGUUCUGUAAGCCUGCGAAGGUGUGCUGUGAGGCAUGCUGGAGGUAUCAGAAGUGCGAAUGCUGACAUAAGUAACGAUAAAGCGGGUGAAAAGCCCGCUCGCCGGAAGACCAAGGGUUCCUGUCCAACGUUAAUCGGGGCAGGGUGAGUCGACCCCUAAGGCGAGGCCGAAAGGCGUAGUCGAUGGGAAACAGGUUAAUAUUCCUGUACUUGGUGUUACUGCGAAGGGGGGACGGAGAAGGCUAUGUUGGCCGGGCGACGGUUGUCCCGGUUUAAGCGUGUAGGCUGGUUUUCCAGGCAAAUCCGGAAAAUCAAGGCUGAGGCGUGAUGACGAGGCACUACGGUGCUGAAGCAACAAAUGCCCUGCUUCCAGGAAAAGCCUCUAAGCAUCAGGUAACAUCAAAUCGUACCCCAAACCGACACAGGUGGUCAGGUAGAGAAUACCAAGGCGCUUGAGAGAACUCGGGUGAAGGAACUAGGCAAAAUGGUGCCGUAACUUCGGGAGAAGGCACGCUGAUAUGUAGGUGAAGUCCCUCGCGGAUGGAGCUGAAAUCAGUCGAAGAUACCAGCUGGCUGCAACUGUUUAUUAAAAACACAGCACUGUGCAAACACGAAAGUGGACGUAUACGGUGUGACGCCUGCCCGGUGCCGGAAGGUUAAUUGAUGGGGUCAGCGCAAGCGAAGCUCUUGAUCGAAGCCCCGGUAAACGGCGGCCGUAACUAUAACGGUCCUAAGGUAGCGAAAUUCCUUGUCGGGUAAGUUCCGACCUGCACGAAUGGCGUAAUGAUGGCCAGGCUGUCUCCACCCGAGACUCAGUGAAAUUGAACUCGCUGUGAAGAUGCAGUGUACCCGCGGCAAGACGGAAAGACCCCGUGAACCUUUACUAUAGCUUGACACUGAACAUUGAGCCUUGAUGUGUAGGAUAGGUGGGAGGCUUUGAAGUGUGGACGCCAGUCUGCAUGGAGCCGGCCUUGAAAUACCACCCUUUAAUGUUUGAUGUUCUAACGUUGACCCGUGAUCCGGGUUGCGGACAGUGUCUGGUGGGUAGUUUGACUGGGGCGGUCUCCUCCUAAAGAGUAACGGAGGAGCACGAAGGUUGGCUAAUCCUGGUCGGACAUCAGGAGGUUAGUGCAAUGGCAUAAGCCAGCUUGACUGCGAGCGUGACGGCGCGAGCAGGUGCGAAAGCAGGUCAUAGUGAUCCGGUGGUUCUGAAUGGAAGGGCCAUCGCUCAACGGAUAAAAGGUACUCCGGGGAUAACAGGCUGAUACCGCCCAAGAGUUCAUAUCGACGGCGGUGUUUGGCACCUCGAUGUCGGCUCAUCACAUCCUGGGGCUGAAGUAGGUCCCAAGGGUAUGGCUGUUCGCCAUUUAAAGUGGUACGCGAGCUGGGUUUAGAACGUCGUGAGACAGUUCGGUCCCUAUCUGCCGUGGGCGCUGGAGAACUGAGGGGGGCUGCUCCUAGUACGAGAGGACCGGAGUGGACGCAUCACUGGUGUUCGGGUUGUCAUGCCAAUGGCACUGCCCGGUAGCUAAAUGCGGAAGAGAUAAGUGCUGAAAGCAUCUAAGCACGAAACUUGCCCCGAGAUGAGUUCUCCCUGACUCCUUGAGAGUCCUGAAGGAACGUUGAAGACGACGACGUUGAUAGGCCGGGUGUGUAAGCGCAGCGAUGCGUUGAGCUAACCGGUACUAAUGAACCGUGAGGCUUAACCUU